RNAcentral lists this ribosomal RNA (526 nucleotides) under uncultured bacterium. RNAcentral describes it as "bacterial SSU rRNA". It matches the Rfam family "Bacterial small subunit ribosomal RNA", at positions 355 to 896 of the family's 1533-position model. The record is from RNAcentral.
CAAGGAAUAUUGGGCAAUGGGCGAAAGCCUGACCCAGCGACGCCGCGUGGGGGAAGAAGGCCUUCGGGUUGUAAACCCCUUUUCUUAGGGAAGAAUAAUGACGGUACCUGAGGAAUAAGUCUCGGCUAACUACGUGCCAGCAGCCGCGGUAAUACGUAGGAGGCGAGCGUUAUCCGGAUUUACUGGGCGUAAAGAGGGCGCGGGCGGCUUUUCAAGUCGGAUGUUAAAUCUCCUGGCUUAACUAGGAGGGGUCAUUCGAUACUGUUGAGCUAGAGGGCAGCAGAGGGAGGUGGAAUUCCCGGUGUAGUGGUGAAAUGCGUAGAUAUCGGGAGGAACACCGGUGGCGAAGGCGGCCUUCUGGGCUGUUCCUGACGCUGAGGCCCGAAAGCGUGGGGAGCAAACAGGAUUAGAUACCCUGGUAGUCCAUGCAGUAAACGAUGGACACUAGGUAUGGGGAGUAUCGACCCUCUCCGUGCCGAAGUUAACGCUUUAAGUGUCCCGCCUGGGAAGUACGGCCGCAAGGCUA